CCAGACUCCUACGGGAGGCAGCAGUGAGGAAUAUUGGUCAAUGGGCGCGAGCCUGAACCAGCCAAGUCGCGUGAGGGAUGACGGCCCUACGGGUUGUAAACCUCUUUUGUCGGGGAGCAAAAAGGCCUCGUGAGGCCACAAGUGAGAGUACCCGAAGAAAAAGCAUCGGCUAACUCCGUGCCAGCAGCCGCGGUAAUACGGAGGAUGCGAGCGUUAUCCGGAUUUAUUGGGUUUAAAGGGUGCGUAGGCGGCCUGUUAAGCCCGCGGUAAAAGCCGGGGGCUCAACCCCGGCGAGCCGUUGAAACUGGCGGGCUGGAGUUGGAGAGAAGUACGCGGAAUGCGCGGUGUAGCGGUGAAAUGCUUAGAUAUCGCGCAGAACCCCGAUUGCGAAGGCAGCGUACCGGCUCCACACUGACGCUGAGGCACGAAAGCGUGGGUAUCGAACAGGAUUAGAUACCCUAGUAA
This 465-nucleotide ribosomal RNA is filed under the name uncultured bacterium. RNAcentral describes it as "bacterial SSU rRNA". It matches the Rfam family "Bacterial small subunit ribosomal RNA", at positions 331 to 793 of the family's 1533-position model. The record is from RNAcentral.